ACUGACACUGACACUGAGGUGCGAAAGCGUGGGUAGCAAACAGGAUUAGAUACCCUGGUAGUCCACGCCGUAAACGAUGUCGACCAGCCGUUGGGUGCCUAGCGCACUUUGUGGCGAAGUUAACGCGAUAAGUCGACCGCCUGGGGAGUACGGCCGCAAGGUUAAAACUCAAAUGAAUUGACGGGGGCCCGCACAAGCGGUGGAGCAUGUGGUUUAAUUCGAUGCAACGCGAAGAACCUUACCUACUCUUGACAUCCUGCGAAUUCGGUAGAGAUACCUUAGUGCCUUCGGGAACGCAGAGACAGGUGCUGCAUGGCUGUCGUCAGCUCGUGUUGUGAAAUGUUGGGUUAAGUCCCGUAACGAGCGCAACCCUUGUCCUUAUUUGCCAGCGCGUAAUGGCGGGAACUUUAAGGAGACUGCCGGUGACAAACCGGAGGAAGGUGGGGACGACGUCAAGUCAUCAUGGCCCUUACGAGUAGGGCUACACACGUGCUACAAUGGUCGGUACAAAGGGUUGCCAACUCGCGAGAGUGAGCCAAUCCCGAAAAGCCGAUCUCAGUCCGGAUCGGAGUCUGCAACUCGACUCCGUGAAGUCGGAAUCGCUAGUAAUCGUGGAUCAGAAUGCCACGGUGAAUACGUUCCCGGGCCUUGUACACACCGCCCGUCACACCAUGGGAGUGGACUGCACCAGAAGUGGUUAGCCUAACGCAAGAGGGCGAUCACCACGGUGUGGUUCAUGACUGGGGUGAAGUCGUAACAAGGUAACCGUA
RNAcentral lists this ribosomal RNA (770 nucleotides) under uncultured bacterium. RNAcentral's name for it is "bacterial SSU rRNA". It matches the Rfam family "Bacterial small subunit ribosomal RNA", at positions 733 to 1504 of the family's 1533-position model. The record is from RNAcentral.